This 164-nucleotide unclassified non-coding RNA is filed under the name uncultured Sarocladium. RNAcentral describes it as "partial internal transcribed spacer 2". Lineage: Eukaryota; Fungi; Ascomycota; Sordariomycetes; Hypocreales. The record is from RNAcentral.
CAACCCUCGGGACCCCUUCAGGGGACCCGGUGUUGGGGAUCAGGGUCCUUCGGGCCCCUGCCCCCUAAAUACAGUGGCGGUCGCGCCGCAGCCUCCCCUGCGUAGUAAUGCACAUCGCACCGGAGAGCGGCACGGCCACGCCGUAAAACCCCCCAAUUUUACAA